GAGUUUGAUCCUGGCUCAGAUUGAACGCUGGCGGCAGGCUUAACACAUGCAAGUCGAGCGGGGGCUUCGGCCCUAGCGGCGAACGGGUGAGGAAUGCCUGGGAAUCUGCCUGGUAGUGGGGGAUAACGAUCCGAAAGGAUCGCUAAUACCGCAUACGUCCUACGGGAGAAAGCAGGGGACCUUCGGGCCUUGCGCUAUCAGAUGAGCCCAGGUCGGAUUAGCUAGUAGGUGAGGUAAAGGCUCACCUAGGCGACGAUCCGUAGCUGGUCUGAGAGGAUGAUCAGCCACACUGGAACUGAGACACGGUCCAGACUCCUACGGGAGGCAGCAGUGGGGAAUAUUGGACAAUGGGCGAAAGCCUGAUCCAGCCAUGCCGCGUGUGUGAAGAAGGCCUUCGGGUUGUAAAGCACUUUAAGCGGGGAGGAAGUACUUGGGGCUAAUACCCCUGAGUGUUGACGUUACCCGCAGAAUAAGCACCGGCUAACUCUGUGCCAGCA
Molecule: ribosomal RNA, 497 nt
Filed under: uncultured bacterium
Lineage: Bacteria
Description: bacterial SSU rRNA
Rfam family: Bacterial small subunit ribosomal RNA
Source: RNAcentral